AUGCUUUUCUGCAAGCAGAUUUCAUUGCACUUAUUGUGUUCAUAUCAUUUUCUUGGGGAUUAUUUGUCGGACAACCAACCUGGAGUUUUGCCUCUGUGGAGUACCACCCGGUCAGGCCAGGAGCUUAGUCUAAAGGAAACUCUGCCAUCGGGGACAUCAGCUGCUGUGGCCAGAGAAGAGAACAUGCUCUCAGGCUCCUGGAAGAUUGCAAACCCAGCAAACAAGCUUGUUAAGGUUUUAAACAUGAAUCAGAGACAUCAGCAAAGGCCAAAUGGGACAUCCUGCAAUCUUUACUGUGGACCACAAGAAGCUAUUUUUUCACCAUAGGUACCUUUCUUGCUUACUUCCUGAUUUCUGGCUUUGCUUUAUGUGGACGAGGUUUUGGGAUAUUAAUUUAAGAUAAACUAGGAAUCACCAUAAUU
Molecule: long non-coding RNA, 422 nt
Organism: Piliocolobus tephrosceles (Ugandan red Colobus)
Lineage: Eukaryota; Metazoa; Chordata; Mammalia; Primates; Cercopithecidae
Source: Ensembl